This is a non-coding RNA of Rhypophila decipiens, 101 nucleotides long. NCBI's taxonomy places the organism in Eukaryota, Fungi, Ascomycota, Sordariomycetes, Sordariales, Naviculisporaceae. The record is from the annotation of a GenBank genome assembly.
GCCCGGCUAGCUCAAUCGGUAGAGCGUGAGACUCUUACUUCCUGUACCAACAGGUUAGAACGGAUAUCUCAAGGUUGUGGGUUCGACCCCCACGUCGGGCU